GGUGAGUAACGCGUAGGGAUCUGUCCAUGGGUGGGGGAUAACUCCGGGAAACUGGAGCUAAUACCGCAUGACACCUGAGGGUCAAAGGCGCGAGUCGCCUGUGGAGGAACCUGCGUUCGAUUAGCUAGUUGGUGGGGUAAAGGCCUACCAAGGCGAUGAUCGAUAGCUGGUCUGAGAGGAUGAUCAGCCACACUGGGACUGAGACACGGCCCAGACUCCUACGGGAGGCAGCAGUGGGGAAUAUUGGACAAUGGGCGCAAGCCUGAUCCAGCAAUGCCGCGUGUGUGAAGAAGGUCUUCGGAUUGUAAAGCACUUUCGACGGGGACGAUGAUGACGGUACCCGUAGAAGAAGCCCCGGCUAACUUCGUGCCAGCAGCCGCGGUAAUACGAAGGGGGCUAGCGUUGCUCGGAAUGACUGGGCGUAAAGGGCGCGUAGGCGGUUUGGACAGUCAGAUGUGAAAUUCCUGGGCUUAACCUGGGGGCUGCAUUUGAUACGUAUAGACUA
RNAcentral lists this ribosomal RNA (505 nucleotides) under Gluconacetobacter diazotrophicus. RNAcentral describes it as "bacterial SSU rRNA". It matches the Rfam family "Bacterial small subunit ribosomal RNA", at positions 105 to 643 of the family's 1533-position model. The record is from RNAcentral. Lineage: Bacteria; Pseudomonadati; Pseudomonadota; Alphaproteobacteria; Acetobacterales; Acetobacteraceae.